This 329-nucleotide ribosomal RNA is filed under the name Escherichia coli. RNAcentral describes it as "bacterial LSU rRNA". It matches the Rfam family "Bacterial large subunit ribosomal RNA", at positions 213 to 580 of the family's 2925-position model. Lineage: Bacteria; Pseudomonadati; Pseudomonadota; Gammaproteobacteria; Enterobacterales; Enterobacteriaceae. The record is from RNAcentral.
GAGGAAAAGAAAUCAACCGAGAUUCCCCCAGUAGCGGCGAGCGAACGGGGAGCAGCCCAGAGCCUGAAUCAGUGUGUGUGUUAGUGGAAGCGUCUGGAAAGGCGCGCGAUACAGGGUGACAGCCCCGUACACAAAAAUGCACAUACUGUGAGCUCGAUGAGUAGGGCGGGACACGUGGUAUCCUGUCUGAAUAUGGGGGGACCAUCCUCCAAGGCUAAAUACUCCUGACUGACCGAUAGUGAACCAGUACCGUGAGGGAAAGGCGAAAAGAACCCCGGCGAGGGGAGUGAAAAAGAACCUGAAACCGUGUACGUACAAGCAGUGGGAGC